CCUACGGGAGGCUGCAGUGGGGAAUAUUGGACAAUGGGCGAAAGCCUGAUCCAGCCAUGCCGCGUGUGUGAAGAAGGCCUUCGGGUUGUAAAGCACUUUCAGUGGGGAAGAAAGCCUUGGGGCUAAUACCCUCGAGGAAGGACAUCACCCACAGAAGAAGCACCGGCUAACUCCGUGCCAGCAGCCGCGGUAAUACGGAGGGUGCGAGCGUUAAUCGGAAUUACUGGGCGUAAAGCGCGCGUAGGCGGUCUGAUAAGCCGGUUGUGAAAGCCCCUGGCUCAACCUGGGAACGGCAUCCGGAACUGUCAGGCUAGAGUGCAGGAGAGGAAGGUAGAAUUCCCGGUGUAGCGGUGAAAUGCGUAGAGAUCGGGAGGAAUACCAGUGGCGAAGGCGGCCUUCUGGACUGACACUGACGCUGAGGUGCGAAAGCGUGGGUAGCAAACAGGAUUAGAUACCCGUGUAGUC
This 465-nucleotide ribosomal RNA is filed under the name Vreelandella stevensii. RNAcentral's name for it is "partial 16S ribosomal RNA". It matches the Rfam family "Bacterial small subunit ribosomal RNA", at positions 338 to 795 of the family's 1533-position model. The record is from RNAcentral. Lineage: Bacteria; Pseudomonadati; Pseudomonadota; Gammaproteobacteria; Oceanospirillales; Halomonadaceae.